UUUAGAGUUUGAUCCAUGGCUCAGAACGAACGCUGGCGGCAGGCCUAACACAUGCAAGUCGAGCGAGGACUUCGGUUCUAGCGGCGGACGGGUGAGUAACGCGUGGGAACGUGCCCUUUGCUACGGAAUAGCCCCGGGAAACUGGGAGUAAUACCGUAUGUGCCCUUCGGGGGAAAGAUUUAUCGGCAAAGGAUCGGCCCGCGUUGGAUUAGGUAGUUGGUGGGGUAAUGGCCUACCAGGCCGACGAUCCAUAGCUGGUUUGAGAGGAUGAUCAGCCACACUGGGACUGAGACACGGCCCAGACUCCUACGGGAGGCAGCAGUGGGGAAUCUUAGACAAUGGGGGCAACCCUGAUCUAGCCAUGCCGCGUGAGUGAAGAAGGCCUUAGGGGAUAAAGCUCUUUCAGUGGGGAAGAUAAUGACGUACCCACAGAAGAGCCCCGGCA
This 445-nucleotide ribosomal RNA is filed under the name uncultured bacterium. RNAcentral describes it as "bacterial SSU rRNA". It matches the Rfam family "Bacterial small subunit ribosomal RNA", at positions 1 to 498 of the family's 1533-position model. The record is from RNAcentral.